AAAAAGGGUACUCGCUGAAACAUAUUCCUUAGGCGCAUUGCAGCGGCUCUGUCUCAUUUGACAGACUGCUCCUGUGGGGUAUGGCUUUACAUAUCCAGUGCAUAAUUUUUUGCUACGUGGGGAUUGUAGGCUGCGAUACAAUUGCGCCAAGCAUCCCC
Molecule: small nuclear RNA, 158 nt
Organism: Eupeodes corollae
Lineage: Eukaryota; Metazoa; Arthropoda; Insecta; Diptera; Syrphidae
Product: U11 spliceosomal RNA
Exons: 1
Source: RefSeq, a predicted model, not a curated record